RNAcentral lists this ribosomal RNA (404 nucleotides) under uncultured bacterium. RNAcentral's name for it is "bacterial SSU rRNA". It matches the Rfam family "Bacterial small subunit ribosomal RNA", at positions 355 to 776 of the family's 1533-position model. The record is from RNAcentral.
UGGGGGAUAUUGCACAAUGGGGGAAACCCUGAUGCAGCGACGCCGCGUGGAGGAAGAAGGCCUUCGGGUUGUAAACUCCUGUCCUUGGGGACGAUAAUGACGGUACCCAAGGAGGAAGCACCGGCUAACUACGUGCCAGCAGCCGCGGUAAAACGUAGGGUGCAAGCGUUGUCCGGAAUUACUGGGUGUAAAGGGAGCGCAGGCGGAAUGGCAAGUUGGGAGUGAAAUCUAUGGGCUCAACCCAUAAAUUGCUUUCAAAACUGCUAUUCUUGAGUGGUGUAGAGGUAGGCGGAAUUCCCGGUGUAGCGGUGGAAUGCGUAGAUAUCGGGAGGAACACCAGUGGCGAAGGCGGCCUACUGGGCACUAACUGACGCUGAGGCUCGAAAGUAUGGGUAGCAAACAGG